CUGGGUUAAAAGGGCUUCUGCCCGCCACCCGCCCUCUGUCAUCGAUAAAACGAAAUGCUUCGGCCGACGGUUCCGCUAGCACCUGGCGAUCAGCCUGUGCGAAUGGGGUCGCGGUCGGUCUUCCAAACCUUGAGUGCAUGCGUGUAGUCUGAAUGCAAAAAAAACGAAACCA
RNAcentral lists this unclassified non-coding RNA (172 nucleotides) under uncultured fungus. RNAcentral describes it as "sequence contains ITS1, 5.8S rRNA gene". Lineage: Eukaryota; Fungi. The record is from RNAcentral.